RNAcentral lists this long non-coding RNA (1592 nucleotides) under Marmota monax (woodchuck). The record is from RNAcentral. Lineage: Eukaryota; Metazoa; Chordata; Mammalia; Rodentia; Sciuridae.
GGUUCUCAAAUCAUAAAUGCUAAGGUACCUGUUCAUUUCCACGAAAAUUCUACCAAAUUGAGAUUUUUCUAAAAUUCUAAUUCUUAAAAUAUAAUUUAACAUGCUGAUCAACACCACAAGUAUAAACCUAUGUAAAAAAAAUACAGAUAGUGAGUUAGAAAAGAUCACAAGAAGGCUCACUAUGGAGCUCGCCAAAAAGGGUUGUAUCGGUCCUGGUAUUGAUAUGCCUACCCCAGACAUGAGCAUGGCAGACAUGCCCCAGAGAGAGAUAUCCUGGAUCUCUGACACCUAUGCCAGCACCAGAGGGCACUAUGAUAUUAAUGUACAUGCCUGUGUUACUGGUAAACCCAUCAGACAAGGAGGCAUCCAUGGAUGCAUUCUGCUACUGGCCUUGGUGUUUUUCAUGGAAUUGAAAACUUCAUUAAUGAAGCUUCUUACAUGAGCAUUUUAGGAAUGACACCAGGAUUUGGAGAUAAAACAUUUGUGGUUUCUGGGUUUGAUAAUGUGGGCCUGCACUCUGUGAAGUAUUUACAUCAUUUGGGUGCUAAAUGUAUUGGUGUUGGUGAAUCUGAUGGGAGUAUAUGGAAUCCAGAUGGUAUUUACCCAAGUGAACUGUAAGAUUUCAAACUGCAACAUGGAUCAAUUCUGGGCUUCCCCAAGGCGAAGGUCUAUGAAGGAAGCUGACUGUGACAUACUGAUACCCUGCUGCCAGUGAGAAGCAGUUGACCAAAUCCAAUCCACCCAGAGUCAAAGCCAAGAUCAUUGCUAAAUGUUCCAAUGAACCAACCACUCCAGAAGCUGAUAAGAUUUUCCUGGAGAGGAAAAUGGUUAUUCCAGAUAUCUACUUAAAUAUUGACAGAGUGACAAUAUCUUACUUUGAGUGGCCAAAGAGUCUGAAUCAUGUCUUUUCAAAUAUAAAAUGGAUUCUAACUACCAAUUGCUCAUGUCUAUUCAAUGGAGAUUAGAAAGAAAAUUUGGAAAGCAUGGUGGAACAAUUUCUGUUGUACCCACUCCAGAGUUCCAGGACAGGAUAAUGGGUGCAUCUGAGAAAGACAUUGUGCUACACCAUGGAACAUUCAUCCAGGCAAAUUAUGCAUACAGCCAUAAAGUAUAACCUGGGCUUGAACCUGAGAACAGCUACCUAUGUCAAUUCCAUUGAGAAAGUUUUCAAAGUGUACAAUGAUGCUGGCGUGACUUUCACAUAGAUGGAUCAUGGUUAACUUUUUAUGACCCUCUGUAACUUCUGUUGACCUAUCACAAUUUUACAUGUAACUGCACAAAUUUUUCUCUAAUGACUCAUUAAACAAUGGACACAGUUCUCAACAAUUCAGUCUGAUUUAGCCCCUUAAGAAGAAAGAAAUUAUGUUUAGGGGAUCAUGUACAAUCUGAAUAGUGUGAAAAUAGAAAUCACAUAUUCCAGGAAGCUACUGAGGUAAUUUGCUUUUAAAUAAAAAGUAUCUUCCACUGGGGAAAAAUGGUCUUUAUAUGUUUCCCAGUAUGCUGUCCUCACUCCAUGACCUUCCCCUUUGUUUGUGUACUAGACACAAAAUAUCAAUCAUGUGACUCACUGGUUUGGAAUUAAGACAUUAUUA